GAUGAACGCUGGCGGCGUGCCUAAUACAUGCAAGUCGAGCGAACAGACGAGGAGCUUGCUCCUCUGACGUUAGCGGCGGACGGGUGAGUAACACGUGGAUAACCUACCUAUAAGACUGGGAUAACUUCGGGAAACCGGAGCCAAUACCGGAUAAUAUAUUGAACCGCAUGGUUCAAUAGUGAAAGACGGUUUUGCUGUCACUUAUAGAUGGAUCCGCGCCGCAUUAGCUAGUUGGUAAGGUAACGGCUUACCAAGGCAACGAUGCGUAGCCGACCUGAGAGGGUGAUCGGCCACACUGGAACUGAGACACGGUCCAGACUCCUACGGGAGGCAGCAGUAGGGAAUCUUCCGCAAUGGGCGAAAGCCUGACGGAGCAACGCCGCGUGAGUGAUGAAGGUCUUCGGAUCGUAAAACUCUGUUAUUAGGGAAGAACAAAUGUGUAAGUAACUAUGCACGUCUUGACGGUACCUAAUCAGAAAGCCACGGCUAACUACGUG
RNAcentral lists this ribosomal RNA (497 nucleotides) under uncultured bacterium. RNAcentral describes it as "partial 16S ribosomal RNA". It matches the Rfam family "Bacterial small subunit ribosomal RNA", at positions 28 to 507 of the family's 1533-position model. The record is from RNAcentral.